UAUGUCAUAGAUUGUAAGUAGUCAGAGCUCAUUAGAGGUUUAAAAGAAAUAACGUGUAAAGUUUUGAGAAGAAUGUCUGACCAGAGUUCUCAAUAAAUGUUAGCUGUGGAAUCUCAUUAAUUCCUUUGGUCAUCUGUAUUCCAGCAAGCUCACUGUGAUGAUGGUUUUCCAACAUUCGCAGUUUCCACCAGAAGGGUUUUCCUUAGUGUUGGGUAAACCUUCCUUGGAUGUCUGAGUGAGCUUUAUGUGCAUUCUCAUGUUGGUUUCUGUGAUGUAUAAAAGUAUACCCCCAUCUUACAGAUAGGAAACUGUGCCCUGAUUUCUGAGCCUCGACAUCAUCACAUUCUCCAGUUUGUGUUUCGUGUUGAAAGUUAAAACGUGAUUCCCUUUUCAGGUGUAAUCCUGAGAGAUUCACAUGGUGUUGCACAAGUACGUUUUGUGACAGGCAAUAAAAUUUUAAGAAUUCUUAAGUCUAAGGGACUUGCUCCUGAUCUUCCUGAAGAUCUGUACCAUUUAAUUAAGAAGGCAGUUGCUGUUCGAAAGCAUCUUGAGAGGAACAGAAAGGAUAAGGAUGCUAAAUUCCGUCUGAUUCUGAUAGAGAGCCGGAUUCACCGUUUGGCUCGAUAUUAUAAGACCAAGCGAGUCCUCCCUCCCAAUUGGAAAUAUGAAUCAUCUACAGCCUCUGCCCUGGUCGCAUAAAUUUGUCUGUGUACUCAAGCAAUAAAGUGAUUGUUUAACUAAAA
RNAcentral lists this small RNA (743 nucleotides) under Pongo abelii (Sumatran orangutan). RNAcentral's name for it is "retained intron". The stretch from base 150 to 239 matches the Rfam family "Small nucleolar RNA SNORD14". Lineage: Eukaryota; Metazoa; Chordata; Mammalia; Primates; Hominidae. The record is from RNAcentral.